GAGCCAACUUGGCAUAGUGGUUUGAGCGCCGGACUAUGACUCUGGAGACCAGAGUUCAAAUCCCUGCUCA
Phrynosoma platyrhinos (Desert horned lizard) is the source of this 70-nucleotide non-coding RNA. Lineage: Eukaryota; Metazoa; Chordata; Lepidosauria; Squamata; Phrynosomatidae. The record is from the annotation of a GenBank genome assembly.